AGAGUUUGAUCCUGGCUCAGGAUGAACGCUAGCGGCAGGCCUAAUACAUGCAAGUCGAACGGUAAGGUCUCUUCGGAGAUACACGAGUGGCGGACGGGUGCGUAACGCGUAUGCAACCUACCCUUUAGUGGGGGAUAGCCUGGAGAAAUCCAGAUUAAUACCCCAUAGUAUCUAGAAACUGCAUGGUUUUUAGAUUAAAACUCCGGUGUUAAAGGAUGGGCAUGCGUGACAUUAGCUAGAUGGUGAGGUAAUGGCUCACCAUGGCAACGAUGUCUAGCUGGUCUGAGAGGAUGAUCAGCCACACUGGGACUGAGACACGGCCCAGACUCCUACGGGAGGCAGCAGUAGGGAAUAUUGGACAAUGGACGCAAGUCUGAUCCAGCCAUGCCGCGUGAAGGAAGACGGUUCUCUGAAUUGUAAACUUCUUUUAGCAGGGAAUAAGUCAGUGGUAUAGUCACUGUUGAAGGUACCUGCAGAAUAAGCACCGGCUAACUCCGUGCCAGCAGCCGCGGUAAUACGGAGGGUGCAAGCGUUGUCCGGAUUUAUUGGGUUUAAAGGGU
This 560-nucleotide ribosomal RNA is filed under the name uncultured Bacteroidota bacterium. RNAcentral's name for it is "bacterial SSU rRNA". It matches the Rfam family "Bacterial small subunit ribosomal RNA", at positions 8 to 568 of the family's 1533-position model. Lineage: Bacteria; Pseudomonadati; Bacteroidota. The record is from RNAcentral.